GCCAGUGUGGCACAGUGGUUUGAGUGUUGGAUUGCAACUCAGGAGACCAGGGUUUGAUUCCCCAUUCGGCCA
Phrynosoma platyrhinos (Desert horned lizard) is the source of this 72-nucleotide non-coding RNA. NCBI's taxonomy places the organism in Eukaryota, Metazoa, Chordata, Lepidosauria, Squamata, Phrynosomatidae. The record is from the annotation of a GenBank genome assembly.